AUGAACGCUGGCGGCGUGCCUAAUACAUGCCAGUCGAGCGAACAGACGAGGAGCUUGCUCCUCUGACGUUAGCGGCGGACGGGUGAGUAACACGUGGAUAACCUACCUAUAAGACUGGGAUAACUUCGGGAAACCGGAGCUAAUACCGGAUAAUAUAUUGAACCGCAUGGUUCAAUAGUGAAAGACGGUUUUGCUGUCACUUAUAGAUGGAUCCGCGCCGCAUUAGCUAGUUGGUAAGGUAACGGCUUACCAAGGCAACGAUGCGUAGCCGACCUGAGAGGGUGAUCGGCCACACUGGAACUGAGACACGGUCCAGACUCCUACGGAAGGCAGCAGUAGGGAAUCUUCCGCAGUGGGCGAAAGCUUGACGGAGCAACGCCGCGUGAGUGAUGAAGGUCUUCGGAUCGUAAAACUCUGUUAUUAGGGAAGAACAAAUGUGUAAGUAACUAUGCACGUCUUGACGGUACCUAAUCAGAAAGCCACGGCUAACUACGU
This 495-nucleotide ribosomal RNA is filed under the name uncultured bacterium. RNAcentral's name for it is "partial 16S ribosomal RNA". It matches the Rfam family "Bacterial small subunit ribosomal RNA", at positions 29 to 506 of the family's 1533-position model. The record is from RNAcentral.